RNAcentral lists this non-coding RNA (23 nucleotides) under Arabidopsis thaliana (thale cress). Lineage: Eukaryota; Viridiplantae; Streptophyta; Magnoliopsida; Brassicales; Brassicaceae. The record is from RNAcentral.
CCGCGGAUUUGCGGGUUGACCCG